CCUGGUUGAUUCUGCCAUUAGUCAUAUGCUUGUCUCAAAGAUUAAGCCAUGCAUGUCUAAGUAUAAACACGUUAUACUGUGAAACUGCGAAUGGCUCAUUAAAUCAGUUAUAGUUUAUUUGAUGGUUUUUGCUACAUGGAUAACUGUGGUAAUUCUAGAGCUAAUACAUGCGUACAAGCCCCGACUUCUGGAAGGGGUGUAUUUAUUAGAUAAAAAUCAACACUGUUGGUGAAUCAUGAUAACUUCUCGGAUCGCAUGGCCUCGUGCUGGCGAUACUUCAUUCAAAUAUCUGCCCUAUCAACUGUCGAUGGUAGGAUAGAGGCCUACCAUGGUUGCAACGGGUAACGGGGAAUAAGGGUUCGAUUCCGGAGAGGGAGCCUGAGAAACGGCUACCACAUCCAAGGAAGGCAGCAGGCGCGCAAAUUACCCAAUCCCGACACGGGGAGGUAGUGACAAUAUGUAACAAUAUACGGCUUUAUCGUCGUAUAAUUGGAAUGAGUACAAUUUAAAUCCCUUAACGAGGAACAAUUGGAGGGCAAGUCUGGUGCCAGCAGCCGCGGUAAUUCCAGCUCCAAUAGCGUAUAUUAAAGUUGUUGCAGUUAAAAAGCUCGUAGUUGGACCUUGGGCCUGGACGGGCGGUCCGCCUCACGGCGUGUACUGUCUUGCCGGGCCUUUCCUCUUGGUGAUCUGUUGUUUCGGCAGCAGGGAACCAGGACCUUUACUUUGAAAAAAUUAGAGUGUUCAAAGCAGGCUCGACGCCGGAAUAUAUUAGCAUGGAAUAAUAAAAUAGGACGUGCGGUUCUAUUUUGUUGGUUUUUGGAAUCGCCGUAAUGAUUAAUAGGGACAGUCGGGGGCAUUAGUACUCACAUGCUAGAAGUGAAAUUCUUGGAUUUUGUGAAGACUAACUUCUG
This 911-nucleotide ribosomal RNA is filed under the name uncultured fungus. RNAcentral describes it as "SSU rRNA". It matches the Rfam family "Eukaryotic small subunit ribosomal RNA", at positions 1 to 945 of the family's 1831-position model. Lineage: Eukaryota; Fungi. The record is from RNAcentral.